This 486-nucleotide ribosomal RNA is filed under the name uncultured bacterium. Its description in RNAcentral is "partial 16S ribosomal RNA". It matches the Rfam family "Bacterial small subunit ribosomal RNA", at positions 28 to 507 of the family's 1533-position model. The record is from RNAcentral.
GACGAACGCUGGCGGCGUGCUUAACACAUGCAAGUCGAACGCUGAAGACCUGGCUUUUGUUGGGUUGGAUGAGUGGCGAACGGGUGAGUAACACGUGAGUAACCUGCCCUCUUCUUUGGGAUAACGCCCGGAAACGGGUGCUAAUACUGGAUAUUCACUGAUCUUCGCAUGGGGGUUGGUGGAAAGGUUUGUUCUGGUGGGGGAUGGGCUCGCGGCCUAUCAGCUUGUUGGUGGGGUGAUGGCCUACCAAGGCUUUGACGGGUAGCCGGCCUGGGAGGGUGACCGGUCACAUUGGGACUGAGAUACGGCCCAGACUCCUACGGGAGGCAGCAGUGGGGAAUAUUGCACAAUAGGCGAAAGCCUGAUGCAGCGACGCCGCGUGAGGGAUGGAGGCCUUCGAGUUGUAAACCUCUUUCGCUCAUGGUCAAGCCGCAACUGUGGGUUGUGGUGAGGGUAGUGGGUAAAGAAGCGCCGGCUAACUACGUG